AUUGAACGCUGGCGGCAGGCCUAACACAUGCAAGUCGAGCGGAUGAAGGGAGCUUGCUCCUGGAUUCAGCGGCGGACGGCUUGAGUAAUGCCUAGGAAUCUGCCUGGUAGUGGGGGAUAACGUCCGGAAACGGGCGCUAAUACCGCAUACGUCCUGAGGGAGAAAGUGGGGGAUCUUCGGACCUCACGCUAUCAGAUGAGCCUAGGUCGGAUUAGCUAGUUGGUGGGGUAAAGGCCUACCAAGGCGACGAUCCGUAACUGGUCUGAGAGGAUGAUCAGUCACACUGGAACUGAGACACGGUCCAGACUCCUACGGGAGGCAGCAGUGGGGAAUAUUGGACAAUGGGCGAAAGCCUGAUCCAGCCAUGCCGCGUGUGUGAAGAAGGUCUUCGGAUUGUAAAGCACUUUAAGUUGGGAGGAAGGGCAGUAAGUUAAUACCUUGCUGUU
This 446-nucleotide ribosomal RNA is filed under the name Pseudomonas aeruginosa. Its description in RNAcentral is "bacterial SSU rRNA". It matches the Rfam family "Bacterial small subunit ribosomal RNA", at positions 30 to 476 of the family's 1533-position model. Lineage: Bacteria; Pseudomonadati; Pseudomonadota; Gammaproteobacteria; Pseudomonadales; Pseudomonadaceae. The record is from RNAcentral.